This 151-nucleotide ribosomal RNA is filed under the name Clytia hemisphaerica. Its description in RNAcentral is "5.8S ribosomal RNA". It matches the Rfam family "5.8S ribosomal RNA". From Rfam's summary of the family: 5.8S ribosomal RNA (5.8S rRNA) is a component of the large subunit of the eukaryotic ribosome. It is transcribed by RNA polymerase I as part of the 45S precursor that also contains 18S and 28S rRNA. The record is from Rfam by way of RNAcentral. Lineage: Eukaryota; Metazoa; Cnidaria; Hydrozoa; Leptothecata; Clytiidae.
AACUUCUAACGGUGGAUCUCUUGGCUCAUGCAUCGAUGAAGAACGUUGCCAGUUGCGAUAAGUAGUGUGAAUUGCAGAAUGAAGUGAAUCAUCGAAUCUUUGAACGCAAAUUGCAAUUGCUGCUUUUACUUUUACGCCUUCAUGAUAGAUU